UCUAAGAGUGUCAGAAAAGUGUAAUGAACUUAAAAUCCAUUUAUAAAGAAAAAAAUUCUUUCCUUAGAA
This 69-nucleotide transfer RNA is filed under the name Loxocephala perpunctata. RNAcentral's name for it is "tRNA-Leu". Lineage: Eukaryota; Metazoa; Arthropoda; Insecta; Hemiptera; Eurybrachidae. The record is from RNAcentral. RNAcentral also lists the same sequence under 1 other name.